Molecule: small RNA, 90 nt
Filed under: Polaribacter sp. SA4-12
Lineage: Bacteria; Pseudomonadati; Bacteroidota; Flavobacteriia; Flavobacteriales; Flavobacteriaceae
Description: Flavo-1 RNA
Rfam family: Flavo-1 RNA
Source: Rfam by way of RNAcentral
UGUUAGCAAGUAGGUUGCGUUAGGGAUUGAAGUGGAAAUCCUUUUUUUGAGGUACGAAAAAAAAGAUUGUAGCGUAAAGCCUGACCUGAA